UGCAGGGUAGAGAAGCGGUCCAUCUCGCCUGGUUCAUUCCCAGGAGACCGCCGGUUCGAAUCCGGCCCCUGCGA
Molecule: transfer RNA, 74 nt
Filed under: Gemmataceae bacterium
Lineage: Bacteria; Pseudomonadati; Planctomycetota; Planctomycetia; Gemmatales; Gemmataceae
Rfam family: tRNA
About the family: Transfer RNA (tRNA) molecules are approximately 80 nucleotides in length. Their secondary structure includes four short double-helical elements and three loops (D, anti-codon, and T loops). Further hydrogen bonds mediate the characteristic L-shaped molecular structure. tRNAs have two regions of fundamental functional importance: the anti-codon, which is responsible for specific mRNA codon recognition, and the 3' end, to which the tRNAs corresponding amino acid is attached (by aminoacyl-tRNA synthetases). tRNAs cope with the degeneracy of the genetic code in two manners: having more than one tRNA (with a specific anti-codon) for a particular amino acid; and 'wobble' base-pairing, i.e. permitting non-standard base-pairing at the 3rd anti-codon position.
Source: Rfam by way of RNAcentral